Molecule: long non-coding RNA, 2044 nt
Organism: Chiloscyllium plagiosum (whitespotted bambooshark)
Lineage: Eukaryota; Metazoa; Chordata; Chondrichthyes; Orectolobiformes; Hemiscylliidae
Source: RefSeq, a predicted model, not a curated record
GCAUUAUCAGAAAGAAAACAGUCUUGCAAAUGUGGUUUAAUAUCCCGAGGCUCCUGUUGUUUUAUUUUAAUUGUUUUUCGUACUUAACAAGUAUUUUGCAAUAGCAAAGGUUGAUCUACUGAUAAAAAUGUUUGCUUAGAGUUUGACUGAAAGAUCUGGCUACGAACCACAAGGUGCUACACUUACUUAGAUGGGCGAACGAAUUGUGCUAAUGAUGCACAGAAAUGCAGCGAGACACAUAAUAGUGUCUCAACCUCAGUCCUGAGCCAGCAGCAACAUCCGAGACAAUCCACCGCCCUCCCGGCAUUGUUUUAACAGGAUACUCACUCUCGAUUGCAACUCCGAGACUGCAGCAUCUCACCUUUCCGCUUCGCACGGUCUAUCCCUCACUGAGUGGGCGCUGUAAUUAUAGUGGCCAUCUCUCUCCACCUUCUCCAGAGGCUUCGGAACUUCCAGGAUCCCAGCCGCCGCUUCUUAUCUGGUGCGGUAUAACCCACACACAGCGGGUCAGAGCAUGCUCAGCGUGUGAAUCAGGGCAAUCGCAACCUCCCAGGCACCCGCCCGUACCGGCACCCCCAGCCUGACUCCAUGCCUCCCCUGUCAAAUGCAGCGAAUGUUCAGCAUCCCAGGAUGGAGCCGGGAGUUCUCAUCUUCCUGCUCUACGUGAUGAUCAUUCACGAACUGGUUUGUGGCUGGAUGGAAUAUCAAAGGCAAGCGUCCAAACCCAAGAAACAAGCCCGUCCCGUCUGGUCUUCCAGUCAUGUGAAAUCUGGAAGUUUAACACACUCCAGAUCUCUGAAUCGUUAUACAAAACGUGAGAAAUUCCGCGAUUGGAAGAAGUCUGGACGCAUAGUCAGAAAAGCCUGAACACAAAAUGCAAAUCAGAACUGAUUAUCAACCUGGGAGUCUAUCAUGUUCUGAAUGUGUGUGUGACUAAGUGAUUCCAAGGAGCUGCCAAUAUCUGCCUUGGUGUGUUGAUGCUAUCUAACAACCUUACAGUGUCAUGUCGUCUCUACAAAGGAAACACAUCAUGUGAUAACAAUAGGAAUGUUAAUGUGUACCUUUUUUGCACAAGAAAUCAACAACUUUGUAUUAUUUAUUGUAAUUCUGUAUGCUGUGAUACGUUAAUAUAUUAUUACAUAUGACAGAGUUGGGGCCAUUAUCAGUAGUGUGAUUUUUCCUUGCCAUUGUUAAACAACAGUGCUUCUUACCACUUUCUGUCAGGAAGCCUUGUGUUCUCAGCACACGAUAUUUCCAGCAUUGUGUUAAUUUGGAGCAUCCCGUUUGAACAUGUGCAACACUGGAAAAGGGUAAGAGAAAUAUCAAAGCCUAAGGACACAUAGGAAUGACAAAUUUGAAAUAAAACUCUUAAGGGACUGCUGACCUCCCAUUUCACACAUUGGUAGUCCACAGUUGAAAGCUUAAAUUCAGUUUAUAUGCUGCCAUGCCAAAUCAGUAUUCAAAUGCAGAGGAAGAAACAAAGUCUCUGCCUAUGAUUGGAAUUCUAUUUUACUCAUAUGUCUUUAAGCAAGGGUGAUUGACAUCCAUAAAUAUGUAGCAUACAUUAAGAUUCACAUCAAACAUGUUUCCUGUUACUGGAAUACAUGUCAACUAGUCUUAAAGAACCACUGAAGGUAACCUUCCGGUCACAAACCUACUAUUAGAAAAUGUCGAACCUUUAGUUCUGAAUACAUAUUCAAAUACUAUUUAUUGUUUUUAAUAAAUGCAUGUUGUUUCUGUUGUAAAAUGUGCAAAAAUGUUUUCUUUAAUUUACAAUAGUGAAUAUUAAAACAUAGAAAUCUAAUGAGGCAGAGAAAUUCACAGUAGCACUGGACUAAAUAUCAAAUUAUUUAGUCAAUAAUUUAUUUGAAAAAUGUUGCCAAACAAUGCAAGAUUCCAAUGACUUCAGUGCUUUUUAAAGAUGAAAAAUGCUAUGUCAGCAGAGUCUUGCAUGAUUUGUGAAAAUGUCACAAAAAAAGCAUCCAAACUUCUACUUUCCAAUAUACCUUUGAUUCUGGAUGUGUAUUCAUGUAAUUAUUAAAGA